Molecule: ribosomal RNA, 503 nt
Filed under: uncultured bacterium
Lineage: Bacteria
Description: partial 16S ribosomal RNA
Rfam family: Bacterial small subunit ribosomal RNA
Source: RNAcentral
AUUGAACGCUGGCGGCAGGCUUAACACAUGCAAGUCGAGCGGGGUGAUGGUGCUUGCACUAUCACUUAGCGGCGGACGGGUGAGUAAUGCUUAGGAAUCUGCCUAUUAGUGGGGGACAACAUCUCGAAAGGGAUGCUAAUACCGCAUACGUCCUACGGUAGAAAGCAGGGGAUCACUUGUGACCUUGCGCUAAUAGAUGAGCCUAAGGCGGAUUAGCUAGUUGGUGGGGUAAAGGCCUACCACGGCGACGAUCUGUAGCGGGUCUGAGAGGAUGAUCCCCCCCCAUGGGACGGAGACACGGCCCAGACUCCGACGGGAGGUAGCAGUGGGGAAUAUUGGACAAUGGGGGGAACCCUGAUCCAGCCAUGCCGCGUGUGUGAAGAAGGCCUUAUGGUUGUAAAGCACUUUAAGCGAGGAGGAGGCUCUUUUGGUUAAUACCCAAGAUGAGUGGACGUUACUCGCAGAAUAAGCACCGGCUAACUCUGUGCCAGCCGCCGCGGUAA